UAUUACCGCCACGCGUUGAGCACUAGUGAAUUAUUCUUUCACCUUUUACUAUAGAACACCGUGUGCCCGUGGCUAUUCAAGUGACAUACACUUCUUUUUGGAGGGUUGUCUAGUUGACACCCC
Salvia hispanica is the source of this 123-nucleotide non-coding RNA. The record is from RefSeq and is a predicted model, not a curated record. NCBI's taxonomy places the organism in Eukaryota, Viridiplantae, Streptophyta, Magnoliopsida, Lamiales, Lamiaceae.